Molecule: ribosomal RNA, 460 nt
Filed under: uncultured bacterium
Lineage: Bacteria
Description: partial 16S ribosomal RNA
Rfam family: Bacterial small subunit ribosomal RNA
Source: RNAcentral
CCUACGGGAGGCAGCAGUGAGGAAUAUUGGUCAAUGGCCGUAAGGCUGAACCAGCCAAGUCGCGUGAGGGAAGAAGGACCUACGGUUUGUAAACCUCUUUUAUAGGGGAAUAAAGGUAUCCACGUGUGGAUAUUUGCAUGUACCCUAUGAAUAAGCAUCGGCUAACUCCGUGCCAGCAGCCGCGGUAAUACGGAGGAUGCGAGCGUUAUCCGGAUUUUUUGGGGUUAAAGGGUGCGGAGGUGGGUUUUUAAGGCAGCGGGGCAAGUGUUGGGCACAACCAUAAUAUUGCCGUUGAAACUGGAUGACUUGAGUGUGUUAGAGGUAGGCGGAAUGCGUGGUGUAGCGGUGAAAUGCAUAGAUAUCACGCAGAACUCCGAUUGCGAAGGCAGCUUACUGGGCCGUAACUGACGCUGAAGCACGAAAGCGUGGGGAUCGAACAGGAUUAGAUACCCCGGUAGUC